This 502-nucleotide ribosomal RNA is filed under the name Vibrio sp. 5WU2 17. RNAcentral's name for it is "bacterial SSU rRNA". It matches the Rfam family "Bacterial small subunit ribosomal RNA", at positions 380 to 875 of the family's 1533-position model. The record is from RNAcentral. Lineage: Bacteria; Pseudomonadati; Pseudomonadota; Gammaproteobacteria; Vibrionales; Vibrionaceae.
AGCCUGAUGCAGCCAUGCCGCGUGUAUGAAGAAGGCCUUCGGGUUGUAAAGUACUUUCAGCAGUGAGGAAGGUGGUGCAUUUAAUACGUGCAUCAUUUGACGUUAGCUGCAGAAGAAGCACCGGCUAACUCCGUGCCAGCAGCCGCGGUAAUACGGAGGGUGCGAGCGUUAAUCGGAAUUACUGGGCGUAAAGCGCAUGCAGGUGGUGUGUUAAGUCAGAUGUGAAAGCCCGGGGCUCAACCUCGGAAUUGCAUUUGAAACUGACAGACUAGAGUACUGUAGAGGGGGGUAGAAUUUCAGGUGUAGCGGUGAAAUGCGUAGAGAUCUGAAGGAAUACCGGUGGCGAAGGCGGCCCCCUGGACAGAUACUGACACUCAGAUGCGAAAGCGUGGGGAGCAAACAGGAUUAGAUACCCUGGUAGUCCACGCCGUAAACGAUGUCUACUUGGAGUUGUGGCCUUGAGCCGUGGCUUUCGGAGCUAACGCGUUAAGUAGACCGCCUG